RNAcentral lists this unclassified non-coding RNA (282 nucleotides) under Hevea brasiliensis (rubber tree). The record is from RNAcentral. Lineage: Eukaryota; Viridiplantae; Streptophyta; Magnoliopsida; Malpighiales; Euphorbiaceae.
UAAGAUGACUCCAUUUGAAUCUCUUUAUGGUUAUCCUCCUCCAGUUCUUCCAAUGGCUCCAGUUGGUCUCCCAGUAUUAGGAGCUAUUAGCGAUUUCCUUCAACAAAGGCAGCAUCCCAGCAAACUUCUCAAGGAAAAUUUACAAGUUGGCCGAAAUAUAAUGAAGCAAAAAGCAGAUAAAAGAAGAUGUAAAAGGAAAUUGACAAUUGGUGAUUGGGUGUAUUUGAGUCUUUAGCCUUACAGACAGACCUCCAUUGCCAUUAGGCAAACCUUGUGUUAUAG